CAGACGGGUGAGUAACACGUGACCAACCUACCCUAGAGUGGGGGAUAACUAGCCGAAAGGUUAGCUAAUACCGCAUGACACGAACCGAGGCAUCUCGGAACGUUGAAAGGAGCAAUCCGCUCGAGGACGGGGUCGCGUCCGAUUAGCUAGUUGGUGGGGUAACGGCCUACCAAGGCUCCGAUCGGUAGCUGGUUUGAGAGAGCGACCAGCCACACUGGGACUGAGAAACGGCCCAG
Molecule: ribosomal RNA, 236 nt
Filed under: uncultured bacterium
Lineage: Bacteria
Description: partial 16S ribosomal RNA
Rfam family: Bacterial small subunit ribosomal RNA
Source: RNAcentral